AAAAAUGUUAACUCAACCACACUUUGGAAGAUCUAAGGCUCUGGUCAAGAAAAAGAAGGAGGCAGAUAUCAGGAAAGCAUGAAGCAGACAAUGAAUGUGCUUAUAUCUAUCUCCAAAACUAAUUUUUGAUGGAACAGAUAUUCCCCACAUAGGCCACACUAUCACCAAUGGAUCAAGACAUAGAAACUUUUGUCAUCUCUGUUACAACUAGGAGUGUUCACAUAAAUUGAUGAGGAGCACAUGAGCCUGGAAGCCCAGUUCCAGCAGCAACAUCUAGAGUUUCCAGCAAGUGGUCCCUCAUGAUGCAGAGAAAGUGUAGAAGAUCAACAAUCUUUCCUCAUCGAUGGAACAUUCUCCUAAUGAGCAAAGUGUAUCAAAUGACAUUGUCUCAGAAUACCAUGCUAAAACAGUGCCAUCUGCUGAAUAAUUCCAAGGUCAGAGCACUAUAGUCUCUACACCUGUCGGAAUGCCAUAUCAUGAAACCCAAUGUAUAUUCAAUGUAAUACCUUCUUCUACUGGGACCAUCGACCAGACAGGAAUUCUUUUGUAACCACUGUCAAUGGGAUUGAAGUUAUCAUUUAUUAAUUGUAAAUGUAUUGAUGUUGGAAAGAAUAGCAGCCGUUACUUAACCUCAACUACAAACCACAGCCAACUGGCUUAUUCUUUCUUCA
Rhincodon typus (whale shark) is the source of this 671-nucleotide long non-coding RNA. RefSeq lists it as uncharacterized. The transcript is spliced from 3 exons. Lineage: Eukaryota; Metazoa; Chordata; Chondrichthyes; Orectolobiformes; Rhincodontidae. The record is from RefSeq and is a predicted model, not a curated record.